GUUGUAUGGUUAAGUGAUUAAGCGUACACGGUGGAUGCCUAGGCAGUUGGAGGCGAUGAAGGACGUACUAACUUGCGAUAAGCCAUGAUGAGCCAGUAAGAGGCAGUUGAGUCAUGGAUUUCCGAAUGGGGAAACCCAGUGCAUUUAUGCACUAUCGUUAACUGAAUACAUAGGUUAACGAGGCAAACCCGGGGAACUGAAACAUCUAAGUACCCGGAGGAACAGAAAUCAAUUGAGAUCCCCUUAGUAGCGGCGAGCGAACGGGGGCCAGCCAUCAAGUUUUAGCAUCGGUGUUAGUGGAAGGCUCUGGAAAGUGCCGCGAUACCGGGUGAUAGCCCCGUACACGAAAGCACUGGUGUGGAACUAAGCUUGAGAUAAGUAGGUCGGGACACGUGUUAUCCUGACUGAAGAUGGGGGGACCAUCCUCCAAGGCUAAAUACUCCCAACUGACCGAUAGUGAACCAGUACCGUGAGGGAAAGGCGAAAAGAACCCCUGUGAGGGGAGUGAAAUAGAACCUGAAACCGUGUACGUACAAGCAGUAGGAGCACCUUCGUGGUGUGACUGCGUACCUUUUGUAUAAUGGGUCAGCGACUUACAUUUUGUAGCAAGGUUAACCGAAUAGGGUAGCCGUAGGGAAACCGAGUCUUAACUGGGCGCUUAGUUGCAAGGUGUAGACCCGAAACCGGGCGAUCUAUCCAUGGGCAGGUUGAAGAUUGAGUAACAUCAAUUGGAGGACCGAACUCACUAAUGUUGAAAAAUUAGGAGAUGACCUGUGGCUAGGAGUGAAAGGCUAAUCAAGCCCGGAGAUAGCUGGUUCUCCCCGAAAUCUAUUUAGGUAGAGCCUCGGAUGAAUACCACUGGGGGUAGAGCACUGUUUCGGCUAGGGGGUCAUCCCGACUUACCAACCCGAUGCAAACUCCGAAUACCAGUGAGUACUAUCCGGGAGACACACGGCGGGUGCUAACGUUCGUCGUGGAGAGGGAAACAACCCAGACCGCCAGCUAAGGUCCCGAAGUCAUGGUUAAGUGGGAAACGAUGUGGGAAGGCACAGACAGCUAGGAGGUUGGCUUAGAAGCAGCCACCCUUUAAAGAAAGCGUAAUAGCUCACUAGUCGAGUCGGCCUGCGCGGAAGAUGUAACGGGGCUAAACCAUGCACCGAAGCUGCGGAUUUAAUCUUAGGAUUAAGUGGUAGGGGAGCGUUGUGUAAGCUGUUGAAGGUGAAUCGAGAGGUUUGCUGGAGGUAUCACAAGUGCGAAUGCUGACAUGAGUAACGAUAAUGGGGGUGAAAAACCCCCACGCCGGAAGACCAAGGGUUCCUAUCCCAUGCUAAUCAGGGUAGGGUAAGUCGGCCCCUAAGGCGAGGCGGAAACGCGUAGUCGAUGGGAAACGGGUUAAUAUUCCCGUACUGUAAAUGUAUUGCGAUGGGGUGACGGAGUAGGCUAGGUAAUCGCGGCGUUGGUAGUCCGCGUGAAAGUGAGUAGGUUGGUGGUUUAGGCAAAUCCGGACCGCCCUCUUUAGUGAGGAGACUGAGACACGAGACGAGUCCCCAAGGGGAUGAAGUUACUGAUGCCAUGCUUCCAGGAAAACCCUCUAAGCUUCAGAUACAUUUGAACCGUACCCGAAACCGACACAGGUGGUCAGGUAGAGAAUACUAAGGCGCUUGAGAGAACUCGGGUGAAGGAACUAGGCAAAAUAGUACCGUAACUUCGGGAGAAGGUACGCCGCUGUUGGUGAUGAGCUUCGCGCUCUGAGCUGAUAGCGGUCGCAGCGACCAGGUGGCUGGGACUGUUUAUUAAAAACACAGCACUCUGCUAAAACGAAAGUUGACGUAUAGGGUGUGACACCUGCCCGGUGCCGGAAGGUUAAUUGAUGGGGUUAGUCUUCGGACGAAGCUCUUGAUCGAAGCCCCGGUAAACGGCGGCCGUAACUAUAACGGUCCUAAGGUAGCGAAAUUCCUUGUCGGGUAAGUUCCGACCUGCACGAAUGGUGUAACCAUGGCCACGCUGUCUCCACCCGAGACUCAGUGAAAUUGAAAUCGCAGUGAAGAUGCUGUGUACCCGCGGCUAGACGGAAAGACCCCGUGAACCUUUACUACAGCUUGGCACUGAACAUUGAACCUACAUGUGUAGGAUAGGUGGGAGGCUUUGAAGCAUUGGCGCUAGUUGAUGUGGAGCCACCCUUGAAAUACCACCCUUGUAUGUUUGAUGUUCUAACGUUGGCCCCUUAUCGGGGUUGCGGACAGUGCCUGGUGGGUAGUUUGACUGGGGCGGUCUCCUCCCAAAGAGUAACGGAGGAGCACGAAGGUUGGCUAAGUACGGUCGGACAUCGUACGGUUAGUGCAAUGGCAUAAGCCAGCUUAACUGCGAGACAGACACGUCGAGCAGGUGCGAAAGCAGGUCAUAGUGAUCCGGUGGUUCUGAAUGGAAGGGCCAUCGCUCAACGGAUAAAAGGUACUCCGGGGAUAACAGGCUGAUACCGCCCAAGAGUUCAUAUCGACGGCGGUGUUUGGCACCUCGAUGUCGGCUCAUCACAUCCUGGGGCUGAAGUCGGUCCCAAGGGUAUGGCUGUUCGCCAUUUAAAGUGGUACGCGAGCUGGGUUUAGAACGUCGUGAGACAGUUCGGUCCCUAUCUGCCGUGGGCGUUUGAGAAUUGAGAGGGGUUGCUCCUAGUACGAGAGGACCGGAGUGAACGAACCGCUGGUGUUCGGGUUGUCAUGCCAAUGGCACUGCCCGGUAGCUACGUUCGGAAUCGAUAACCGCUGAAAGCAUCUAAGCGGGAAGCGAGCCUCGAGAUGAGUUCUCACUGGAACGUAAGUUCCCUAAAGGGUUGUUGAAGACUACAACGUUGAUAGGCAGGGUGUGGAAGCGCAGUAAUGUGUUGAGCUAACCUGUACUAAUUGCCCGUGAGGCUUAACCAUACAACACCAAAAAGGUUUUG
Molecule: ribosomal RNA, 2938 nt
Filed under: Aliidiomarina minuta
Lineage: Bacteria; Pseudomonadati; Pseudomonadota; Gammaproteobacteria; Alteromonadales; Idiomarinaceae
Description: 23S ribosomal RNA
Rfam family: Bacterial large subunit ribosomal RNA
Source: RNAcentral